This 1229-nucleotide long non-coding RNA is filed under the name Vigna radiata. RNAcentral's name for it is "long non-coding RNA (VRAD_LNC016258)". Lineage: Eukaryota; Viridiplantae; Streptophyta; Magnoliopsida; Fabales; Fabaceae. The record is from RNAcentral.
GGGGAGGCUAGGGAUAACAAACUGGUAAUUAGUAAUAGGCUCUUUUCGCCAAGGGAUUGGGUUAAGGGUAGACCAAGAAAGUUUGCAUGGCAAUAUGAUAAAUAAGCGAAUUAAAUAAGAAGAGUAGAUAUAUGAGGGUGGAUGAUAGGUGUCGCGGCCCAUACAAAUUUGAUUGCAUAUUAGAAAUGCAGUAUAGCUAGGGGAUGACCCCUAGGUCGUCUCCCAAAGACCAAUUUUGCAGUUCGAGAAUCGAGUCUAACACGAAGGGGGGAGGGUUGAAAGUGUGUUGCAAAAAUUAACGAUCUCAAUAUAAAGACACAGAUGCAAACAAACUAAUUAAAGCUAGCAUGGUAAUUAAACUAACACUAUUAAAAAUCUUAGACAACAUUCAAAUAUCAAAUACUCUUGCAAACAAAUUAACAAACACAGUUAAAAUUAAUUAAACUUCACACAAAUUCAAACACAUUAAACUCAACCUAUCAACCAAAUUAAUUAAAAACCAAGGAAACCAACAAGCCUAAUUUAAUCCUAACAAAUUACUUGACAUGAUGGCAAUUAAAAAAUGAAUUUGAAAGUCCAAUUGGCCAAAGAAAGAGCACAUGGCCGUGAGUUACCCAAGUAUCAAAGUCAAACUUCAAUUUCAAUCUUCAAUAAACUAUAAAAUAUGUUGGCCUCUUGUCCUAUGUGCUCCAAUCUUCAAGACAAUACACACGUGCCUUCCAAAUACAAUGAACCGUCCUCUCUCUUCCAAUGCAGCAAAGAAAUCUGAAUCCACACUCUAAAGCACACAAUUGCCGUGAGCUACUACCUUCCUUCCAAAUCAAAGGCAACUUUCUUCAAUGCACAAAUACAAAAAGUAAAAUUGCUUCUACCAAGGUGCCACAUGUGCAAGCUUAAAAGGAAUAAAACAAACAAGUCAUUCUCUUCUUCAUAUGAUGUUCACGGCAAUUGCUAGCAAAGUCCAAAACCAAAAUGGCAAAAUUCCUUCUAUGGAAAUUGGGUCUCAACAUUUGUUUGUCCAAAUCGGGUAAAAACUUAAAUGCACCAUUUUCUCUCUCCCUUUCAACCCAUUUUCGGUUUUCCUCUACCAAAGCAAACAUCCAAAGCUUCUCCAUCUUCAAAAACCGAGAACACACACCCAAGAAACCCCAUUUCAAGUUGCAACACCAUUCAAGACAAUAAACCCACACUACUACUACUUCAACUCAACCCAAUCUUCCAUUUCUUCA